This 496-nucleotide ribosomal RNA is filed under the name uncultured bacterium. RNAcentral describes it as "bacterial SSU rRNA". It matches the Rfam family "Bacterial small subunit ribosomal RNA", at positions 903 to 1397 of the family's 1533-position model. The record is from RNAcentral.
AAAGGAAUUGACGGGGGCCCGCACAAGCAGCGGAGCAUGUGGUUUAAUUCGAAGCAACGCGAAGAACCUUACCAGGUCUUGACAUCUAGGUAAAACCUGAGAGAUUAGGCGUGCCCUUCGGGGCGAUCUAAGACAGGUGGUGCAUGGUUGUCGUCAGCUCGUGUCGUGAGAUGUUGGGUUAAGUCCCGCAACGAGCGCAACCCUUAUUGCUAGUUACUAACGCGUAGAGGCGAGGACUCUAGUGAGACCGCCGGGGACAACUCGGAGGAAGGUGGGGACGACGUCAAAUCAUCAUGCCCCUUAUGACCUGGGCUACACACGUGCUACAAUGGCUACUACAAAGGGAAGCGAACCCGUAAGGGGAAGCAAAUCCCAUAAAAGUAGUCCCAGUUCGGAUUGAGGGCUGCAACCCGCCCUCAUGAAGUCGGAGUUGCUAGUAAUCGCGGAUCAGCAUGCCGCGGUGAAUACGUUCCCGGGCCUUGUACACACCGCCCGU